AUACGGAGGAUGCGAGCGUUAUCCGGAUUUAUUGGGUUUAAAGGGUGCGUAGGCGGAUGUUUAAGUCAGUUGUGAAAGUUUAAGGCUCAACCGUAAAAUUGCAGUUGAUACUGGACGACUUGAGUGUAUUUGAUGUGGGCGGAAUUCGUGGUGUAGCGGUGAAAUGCUUAGAUAUUGCACAGAACUCCAAUUGAGAAGGCAGCUUACCGGACUGUAACUGACGCUGAUGCACGAAAGCGUGGGGAUCAAACAGGAUUAGAUACCCUGGUAGUCCACGCCUUAAACGAUGUACACUCGCUGUUUGCGAUAUACAGUAAGCGGCCAAGCGAAAGCAUUAAGUAAUCCACCUGGGGAGUACGCCGGCAACGGUGA
Molecule: ribosomal RNA, 372 nt
Filed under: uncultured bacterium
Lineage: Bacteria
Description: bacterial SSU rRNA
Rfam family: Bacterial small subunit ribosomal RNA
Source: RNAcentral